Transfer RNA from Apaloderma vittatum (bar-tailed trogon), 58 nucleotides. It matches the Rfam family "tRNA", at positions 8 to 63 of the family's 71-position model. Rfam says of the family: Transfer RNA (tRNA) molecules are approximately 80 nucleotides in length. Their secondary structure includes four short double-helical elements and three loops (D, anti-codon, and T loops). NCBI's taxonomy places the organism in Eukaryota, Metazoa, Chordata, Aves, Trogoniformes, Trogonidae. The record is from Rfam.
UAGCUCAAUCAGUUGAGCGUGGCGCUAGCAAUGCCAAGGUUGCGGGUUUGAUUCCCGU